RNAcentral lists this ribosomal RNA (447 nucleotides) under Bacillus sp. (in: firmicutes). RNAcentral describes it as "bacterial SSU rRNA". It matches the Rfam family "Bacterial small subunit ribosomal RNA", at positions 66 to 492 of the family's 1533-position model. The record is from RNAcentral. Lineage: Bacteria; Bacillati; Bacillota; Bacilli; Caryophanales; Bacillaceae.
GCGAAUGGAUUAAAGAGCUUGCUCUUAUGAAGUUAGCGGCGGACGGGUGAGUAACACGUGGGUAACCUGCCCAUAAGACUGGGAUAACUCCGGGAAACCGGGGCUAAUACCGGAUAACAUUUUGAACCGCAUGGUUCGAAAUUGAAAGGCGGCUUCGGCUGUCACUUAUGGAUGGACCCGCGUCGCAUUAGCUAGUUGGUGAGGUAACGGCUCACCAAGGCAACGAUGCGUAGCCGACCUGAGAGGGUGAUCGGCCACACUGGGACUGAGACACGGCCCAGACUCCUACGGGAGGCAGCAGUAGGGAAUCUUCCGCAAUGGACGAAAGUCUGACGGAGCAACGCCGCGUGAGUGAUGAAGGCUUUCGGGUCGUAAAACUCUGUUGUUAGGGAAGAACAAGUGCUAGUUGAAUAAGCUGGCACCUUGACGGUACCUAACCAGAAAGCC